CGGGCAGAAGCCGAUGCAGCACAAGGUAGAUAGAAGCAGAGUUACAAUUGAGUGGGGGAGGAAACAGGGCUAAGAGCUCAGACUGAGUCCACUGUCUCUCCACCUUCAAGACAUUCUGCAAGCAAAGAGGGAACCUGGGUCACCGUGAAGUGAAAAUAAUCUCAAGAAUCCUUUGCAGUCACAGUGUGUACCUGAGCUCCUCCUGACCCUCUUUCAACCCCAAGCACCCUCCAUCCCAUGUCAGAUGGCGUACAGUCUUAGAUACUUCACGGAUGUGGAGCCAUGCAGUAUUCGUCUUUCUAUGAAUGCACUGUCCAGCGUGCCCGUCUCCUGGAGAUUGGUAGAACAGAGUGCUGCGGAGUCACUGAAACUCACCAGAUUUACUAGGUCCCUCCUUCCUCAACCACAGAGGAGUAGUGAGGACUGCCGAGAGACACUCUCAGACCAGCCAAACUGUCCAGAAGAGCUACCUAGAAGCAGUUGAGAUCAUCCAAGUUGCCUGGAAAGGACUCAGACCAAUUGAGCUGCCUGCAAAGGCGCUCUCCA
Molecule: long non-coding RNA, 546 nt
Organism: Chionomys nivalis (European snow vole)
Lineage: Eukaryota; Metazoa; Chordata; Mammalia; Rodentia; Cricetidae
Exons: 3
Source: RefSeq, a predicted model, not a curated record